RNAcentral lists this long non-coding RNA (1394 nucleotides) under Gallus gallus (chicken). Its description in RNAcentral is "lncRNA (ENSGALG00010001994.1)". The record is from RNAcentral. Lineage: Eukaryota; Metazoa; Chordata; Aves; Galliformes; Phasianidae.
GUAGGUGGGAUUUUAAAACUACCUGUUUGCUGCAUGCAAGUAGCAACUAUUAUUUCUUACCUGACAGGGCAUAAAUUCAAAACUAUUCUUUAUUCCGGGGGAAGAAAAAAAAAAAAAAAAGGUAACUUUCUGUGCCUCACAUUUGGUAACUGUCAGCGCCUCUACUUCCUGAUUUAGUUCAGCAAAGUCAUCAACAGCUGUCUGAGAAACCAAGGAUGGGCUCAGUGUAUGGCACUGAGGCAGCAUUUGGAGGCAGGGACUGGAGUGUCUGAGCAGCUCUGCGAGGGACCACUCGGGUGAGAAAGAUGUGUGCAGAAUCACAGCAGGAAGGUAACAGAUGCUUUUCAAGUGAGCUGUAUGCAGUGAUCACUUCAGCUGUAUGCUGUUAGGUCUUGACCUAGCAAAGGAGUGAUUGUCUGGAGCCAGAUGACACAAUAAAAUCCUAAUAAAAUCUCUUUAUAGUACUGAACUGUUGGCCUUUAUGACUUGUAAAAUGUGUGUUGUAGGACUUUUUAUUGAUACUCAGCACCCUUUGCUACCAGAAUGGAAAGAGGAGAGAGAAGUGGUGUUAAAGAGAGCCUGAACUGCAGACACCUCUGGCGUGUGAGCCCGGGUACUCCUUCAGUGGCACAACAGAAACACAGUCCCUCACGUGAGUGCACAGAGGCGCUCAUGGCUCAGGAUAUCCCAACAGAAACGCCGAGCUGUGCCUUAAGGAUGCCGGGCAGCGCUGUCCCACUGCGGGCUGCGGAAACACCGAGGGGAGAAGCUGAGACAAGAAGCCGCAGUGCAUGGCACUUACAUGUUCCUAAGUGAUGUGGCAUCAGAAAGCAGGAACCGGUGAUGGUGGCCAACCUCUGCACGUCUGUGCUGAUGAACCUUCCUUUGUGCAGAAGUGUGUCACAGAGAGCCAAGGUGGAAGGAAAACACGUCACCAAAGGAAUGUUUUACUACUUGACGAUUAUGCUUCACACACACUUUGUCUUAAUAAGACAUUAAUUUCCCUCGCCGUGUAGAGGCUUCCGAGUGGGGGUUUUACAGCUCGGGACGGUGCUGAGCGAUGCACACACAGACAGACACGCAGUGCACAGCAAAUUGCCGCUGUGUGCCCCUGGGACUGCCGUAGCAGAAGGGAUGGGCUGGAAACUGGAGAAAAAAGCGGACCAUACAAAAAUCCCAUGUGAUCCGGAUCCCAGAAGAGCGAGCCCCACUUAGGGCUGCACUGUGCAAACACCGGCUGAAAUCCUUGUGCGAACACGCAAAACCAAGAAAAAAGUUGCAGCGUGCGCGGCUUUUCUCUUUCCCCGAACCGUUCCCGCUAUUGGCCUUCCCUCCUCUCCCUCCCUCGGAGCCUCCGGCCGUUUCGUUGCGUUUCAUCAUGCUCCCGCCGCCCG